GAUGAACGCUGGCGAGAUGCUUUACACAUGCAAGUCAUACGAGAGUUUUUAACUCAAGUGGCGGACGGGUGAGUAACACGUAAGAAUUUACCUUUAGGAGGGGGAUAACAACGAGAAAUUGUUGCUAAUACCCCAUAUGCUUUCGAGUGAAAUGGAUUUUUCCGCCUAGAGAGAAGCUUGCGCCUGAUUAGCUUGUUGGUAAGGUAAUGGCUUACCAAGGCGACGAUCAGUAUCUGGUUUGAGAGGAUGAUCAGACACACUGGAACUGAGACAUGGCCCAGACUCCUACGGGAGGCAGCAGUGGGAAUUUUGCACAAUGGGCGAAAGCCUGAUGCAGCAACGCCGCGUGAGCGAAGAAGGUCUUCGGAUCGUAAAGCUCUGUCCUAUGGGAAGAACACAAUGACGGUACCAUAGAGGAAG
RNAcentral lists this ribosomal RNA (420 nucleotides) under uncultured bacterium. Its description in RNAcentral is "bacterial SSU rRNA". It matches the Rfam family "Bacterial small subunit ribosomal RNA", at positions 28 to 490 of the family's 1533-position model. The record is from RNAcentral.